This 524-nucleotide unclassified non-coding RNA is filed under the name Aspergillago clavatoflava. RNAcentral describes it as "sequence contains 18S rRNA gene, ITS1, 5.8S rRNA gene, ITS2, 28S rRNA gene". The stretch from base 222 to 375 matches the Rfam family "5.8S ribosomal RNA". Lineage: Eukaryota; Fungi; Ascomycota; Eurotiomycetes; Eurotiales; Aspergillaceae. The record is from RNAcentral.
AGUCGUAACAAGGUUUCCGUAGGUGAACCUGCGGAAGGAUCAUUACUGAGUGCGGGCCCUCUGGGUCCAACCUCCCACCCGUGUUUAUUCGUACCUUGUUGCUUCGGCGGGCCCGCCGCAAGGCCGCCGGGGGGUCUCGCACCCCCGGGCCCGUGCCCGCCGGAGACACCAUUGAACACUGUCUGAAGGUUGCAGUCUGAGUCGAUUGAAUAAAUCGUUAAAACUUUCAACAACGGAUCUCUUGGUUCCGGCAUCGAUGAAGAACGCAGCGAAAUGCGAUAAGUAAUGUGAAUUGCAGAAUUCAGUGAAUCAUCGAGUCUUUGAACGCACAUUGCGCCCCCUGGUAUUCCGGGGGGCAUGCCUGUCCGAGCGUCAUUGCUGCCCUCAAGCCCGGCUUGUGUGUUGGGUCGUCGUCCCCCCACCGGGGGACGGGCCCGAAAGGCAGCGGCGGCACCGAGUCUGGUCCUCGAGCGUAUGGGGCUUUGUCACCCGCUCUGUAGGCCUGGCCGGCGCCUGCCGACCUC